Molecule: ribosomal RNA, 507 nt
Filed under: uncultured bacterium
Lineage: Bacteria
Description: bacterial SSU rRNA
Rfam family: Bacterial small subunit ribosomal RNA
Source: RNAcentral
UGGCGGCGUGCCUAAUACAUGCAAGUCGAACGGUCUUUCUAUGGAAGCUUGCUCCACUGAGAAGAUAGUGGCGAACGGGUGAGUAACACGUGGGUAACCUGCCCAUAAGAGGGGGAUAACAUCCGGAAACGGGUGCUAAUACCGCAUAGUUUUCUUGAUCGCAUGAUUGAGAAAGGAAAGACGGCCUUUGUGCUGUCGCUUAUGGAUGGACCCGCGGCGUAUUAGUUAGUUGGUGAGGUAAUGGCUCACCAAGACGAUGAUACGUAGCCGACCUGAGAGGGUGAUCGGCCACAUUGGGACUGAGACACGGCCCAAACUCCUACGGGAGGCAGCAGUAGGGAAUCUUCCGCAAUGGACGAAAGUCUGACGGAGCAACGCCGCGUGAGUGAAGAAAGGUUUUCGGAUCGUAAAACUCUGUUGUCAGAGAAGAACAAGUUGGAGAGUAACUGCUCCAGCCUUGACGGUAUCUGACCAGAAAGCCACGGCUAACUACGUGCCAGCCGCUGC